UAGGGAAUCUUCGGCAAUGGGGGGAACCCUGACCGAGCAACGCCGCGUGAGUGAAGAAGGUUUUCGGAUCGUAAAGCUCUGUUGUUAAGGAAGAACGAGUGUGAGAAUGGAAAGUUCAUACUGUGACGGUACUUAACCAGAAAGGGACGGCUAACUACGUGCCAGCAGCCGCGGUAAUACGUAGGUCCCGAGCGUUGUCCGGAUUUAUUGGGCGUAAAGCGAGCGCAGGCGGUUGGAUAAGUCUGAAGUUAAAGGCGGUGGCUCAACCAUUGUAGGCUUUGGAAACUGUUAAACUUGAGUGCAGAAGGGGAGAGUGGAAUUCCAUGUGUAACGGUGAAAUGCGUAGAUAUAUGGAGGAACACCGGUGGCGAAAGCGGCUCUCUGGUCUGUAACUGACGCUGAGGCUCGAAAGCGUGGGGAGCGAACAGG
Molecule: ribosomal RNA, 429 nt
Filed under: Bacteroidota bacterium
Lineage: Bacteria; Pseudomonadati; Bacteroidota
Description: Bacteroidetes bacterium partial 16S ribosomal RNA
Rfam family: Bacterial small subunit ribosomal RNA
Source: RNAcentral